GGAAGAGUGCAGAGAGGAUUUGUCUCUGUCAUCUAGUCUGUCAUUUCAAGAACAGCAAAGCUGGUCUGAAGAGAAGUCUCGGUUAUUAAGAGUAGUUAUUGCUCUUGUGGAGGACUGACAUCCUAGCAUCCAUGUAGGGUGGGGGUAGAGAGGGGUAAGUCAUGAAAGGCCUGUAACUCCAGCAUCAGGGAUCCAGGACCCUCUUCUGGCCUGCUUAUGCAUCUGCACUCAUGAGCAUAUCCCCUUCCCCCACAUACACAUAAUUAGAACUAAAGUAAAUCUCUGGCCAGUCUCACAGUUCAGUCAGCCUAGUCGACAUCAGAAGUUCCAGGACAGCCAGGGCUGUGUAGUGAGACUCUCUCCUUGAUAGAUAUAGAUAGAUAACAAAUUCUUUGUUUGUUUGUUUGUUUGUUUUUCAAAACAGGGUUUCUCUGUGUAGCCCUGGCUGUCCUGGAACUCACUCUGGAGACCAGACUGUCCUUGAAUUCAGAAAUCUGCCUGCUUCUGCCUCCCAAGUGCUGGGAUUAAAGGCAUGUACCACCACUGUCCAGUGGUAACAAACUCUUAGAACUACAAAGCUAUGGUGCUCUGGCAUCAACUGCAAGGUCACUAGCCAUAAUGCUGAUUUCCAGGCCCCACCUAGACUGACAGACCUGUCCUUUGUCACUGGGGUCCAAAAAGCUGCUUUUCACAAACACCUGGGGGAAGCCUUACUCAUUGGAGUCAAGAGUCUCCGGCACAGAUGCAGUGUGCAUCACUAAGAUAUUAGAGCGAUGCUGGGGGCGCAGAUACUGCCCAUUCUCAGAGGCAGGGUGCAGAGAAGAUCUGGAGAGCACAAGCUAAAAGGUGACACUGUGAACACAGAGGGGACCAGAGAGGCUGCUGGCUGCCACAGGAUGACGCUCAGAGAAAGACUUCUGGUCAGUAACUGUUGAUGUGUUCAAAAACAUUGUUGAAGGAAAAGGUUCUUGAAAGAGUAAAAUGGAUGCAGAAGAAAUCCGUAGUUACACCUUCCUCCGCCGUUCAGGGGCAUGGUUUCACAGAGAUCCCAGGUCCCCUAAGUGAGACAGUGACUCCUGUGUGUUUCAGAAGCUCUUAUCAGCUGCCUCAGCCAGUGGUCGUUGCGUGUGUAGAGCUGGUGUUAGCACCGAACCCUGCUAUGAAAUGUCCCCGUAGCAAAUCAUGUUGGGUAUAAUAUGCUUUCUUAAUUUAUACACACUAAAGGAAGUUUUUGAAAAAAUCUGUAAUAUUUGGACAAACUACAUUGUGUUGCUUUAAUAUUCUAAAUUAAACUUUUAAUAAAGAUUACCAGAAUA
This 1316-nucleotide long non-coding RNA is filed under the name Mus pahari (shrew mouse). RNAcentral describes it as "predicted gene 29367 (MGP_PahariEiJ_G0006277.1)". Lineage: Eukaryota; Metazoa; Chordata; Mammalia; Rodentia; Muridae. The record is from RNAcentral.